CAACCCAGUCAUAGUGGAAUGGAACUAUGAAACUAGCCAAAGGCACAUAAAGCCUUUAGUCAAGACUCUUGGUUGCAAGUAACAGAAAGCCAACUAAAGACAGUGUAAGAAGAGAAAAAGGAGUUUAUUAGUUCAUGGCAUUGAAAAAAGUCCAGGGGUUUCUAACUUUGAGGACAGCUGCAACAGGGAACUUAAAUAAUUUCAUCAGGAUUGUUUCUUUCUCCAUCUGUAGACUCUGUUUUCUUCUGUGUUGACCUAAUUCCUAGGCAGAUUCUUAUGUCAUGGCCAAGAUGUCUGCCAGAAGAUCCAGGUUUAUAUUCUAACCAUAUGAGUAACCCCAGAGGAAGGAGAAUUCUACUUUUCUAGGGAUGACAGCCAGAUGCCAGGAUUGGCUUUUGUCAGCUCAGCUUGGAGUUUGUGCUUAUUUUCUGUGGAAAUUCAUCAUGGUUUGGGGCAACUUAGUGUUCUCAAAUACCCUUCCUAUUUAGGGGGCAGUGGGAUGCUUACCUAUCCAAGGGAACAGCCAGACACUGUCUGUCCAGGCCUCCCUUGCAGCCAAGAUACAGUCAUGUGACAUAGACUCUGCCAAUAAGACCCACAUGUGGCUUCAAUUUGGAAAAGAGCCAUGCGAGGAAGCAGGCAGCAUGGAAGAUCCAUUUUUCAGUGACCAUUGAUGGCAUCUGACUUUAGGGAAAACAACUGCUGAGCCUCUGAUGUUUGCUCCCCAACAUCAACAGCUUUCACUCUGGGUUCUGAUCCAGUGGAAGCAGCAGUUAGGCUUUGCUGGAACAAUCUUGAGGUUGGAAAUCUCACUCUGGUCCAUCCGAGAGCUUUACUAAAUCACUUUUUGCUCUCAACUUGCUAGAGUGACUAACUACGACUCUGGACAGAUCUGCCAUCCCUGAAUUCGUCACCACGGCCAUGUCUUGCUCAUUUUCCCAGCCCUGAAAUUACUGCAGAGUCAGUCUUGCGAAACCAUGCAGCUGAGAAGUAGGGGAAGGGUGAUGCCCUGAAGGAAAAUUGAGAUGCUCAAGGGGCGAUCAAUGCUGAGCAUGUAAAAGCAACAGAUGUCCACCUCUCCCUUUCUUUUAAGGAUUCUCAUCAGCCUCCUGUGACCCUAAUGGGCUGGCACACUCCUUAAUCUACAGUGUGCUUCUAAUAGAUUUUCUUUCAAAACCUAAAUUAUCCCUCCUUAGCAUCUCCUCCAGGGACUUUGGGCUCCUUCUUUAACUGGAGGUAGAAAGAAGUUUACUGCACAGCACAGUCUGGGGACAGAGCGUGUGCAUGCCAUUAAAUUUCUUUGCUAUCUCCCUCCAAGAGUUGGCUGCUGUUUGCACAUAAUAGUAAGACGGAAGGAUUAUUAGGGAAAUUUGGUCACCCUAGCUGUGGCAUAGUGCAAAGAAACAUGGGAGAGAAGAAAGAAACUUGGGGUAAGCCAUAGUUCUGCUGAUCUCUAACUAUCCAAGAAGGACGUUGCUCAUUCUGGAACCUUCAUAUCCGACCUAUGAAUGUGCUAGACUGGGUGACUCCGUUCCAGGUUAGCUGUAAUGGAUCAAGGAAUCCUAAAGAGGAAUUAAAGGGCUCAGAAGCAAAACUAUUGGUACUCUAGUGACAUCUGGUGGUUAUCCUGAAUUUAAAACCUCUGACUAUUUUUUUGAUGUCUGAUUUUGUUUCAUUGCAUUCUAUCAAGAAUAUUGAUUAUGCUGUAGAAUGGCCAAGAUUUGUUGGCUUCUUUUAUUUGUGCUGUGUUUUUCUAUCCACUAGACUCUGUCCCUGGGCAAUAAGCUUUCAGUGGAAAUUAAUCGGUUUGACUUUUUUCUAGAAUUUUAUACCUUAUGAGUUAGUGGUUUAUCAUAACCUAAGAGGUCAUCUUUUUUUUUUUUUUUUUUUUUUUUUUUCUAGAGACAUGGUGUCAUUCUGUCACCCAGGCUGGAGUGCAGUGGUGCAAUCAUGGCUUGGCUCACUGCAGCCUUGACCUGCUAGGCUUGGAUGAUCCUCCUACCUCAGCCUCCAGAGUAGCUGGGACUACAGACAUGCACCACCAUACCUGGCUGAUUUUUUUGCUUUUUUUUUUUUAUAUAGAGAUGGGGUUUCACCAUAUUGCCCAGGCUGGUCUUGAACUCCUGGACUUGAGCAAUUGACUCACCUUGGCCUCAAAAAGUGCUGGGAUUACAGGCAUGAGCCACCAUGCUUGGCCUAAGAGGUCAUACCUUUAUUAGUUGUAGCUAAAAAGGCUUCCAGAUGCAUUAACUUCUUUUGCUUUCCUUUAGAACUCUAUGAACAAGAAUGCAACGGAGAGACUGUGGUCUACUGGGAAGUGAAGUACCCUUUUCCCAUGUCCAACAGAGACUAUGUCUACCUUCGGCAGCGGCGAGACCUGGACAUGGAAGGGAGGAAGAUCCAUGUGAUCCUGGCCCGGAGCACCUCCAUGCCUCAGCUUGGCGAGAGGUCUGGGGUGAUCCGGGUGAAGCAAUACAAGCAGAGCCUGGCGAUCGAGAGUGACGGCAAGAAGGGGAGCAAAGUUUUCAUGUAUUACUUCGAUAACCCGGGUGGCCAAAUUCCGUCCUGGCUCAUUAACUGGGCCGCCAAGAAUGGAGUUCCUAACUUCUUGAAAGACAUGGCAAGAGCCUGUCAGAACUACCUCAAGAAAACCUAAGAAAGAGAACUGGGAACAUUGCAUCCAUAGGUUGAUGUCUCUGGAAGUGCAACCACCCAAUGUCUCUGGAAGUGCCACCUGGAAGUGCCACCUGGAAGUGUCUCUGGAAGAGCACCCACCACUGUUCAGCCUUCCCCUGCUGUUUCUGUCUUCAGAGGCCUACACACUCUACCACAUCCUUUCUAAGCAUGUUCGCCUGACAUCCAGCUCACUCGUCUGCUUCCUUUCUCACUCCCCGCAUCCUGGGCUGGGCAGCCUUCUUCUACAGUUCAAUAUGGGGCAGACUAGGGAAACCUUUGCUUGCUUACUAUUAGGAGGGGAAGUCUUCAGUAGGGAACACGAUCAUUCCAUUGUGCAAUUUUACGGGGAUGGGUGGGCGGAGGGACACAACAAAAUUUAAGAAUGACUAUUUGGGCGGGCUGGCUCUUUUGCAGCUUGUGAUUUCUUCCAACUUGGGAGGGGCUGCUGGAAGUGGCAUUUCGUUCAGAGCUGACUUUCAGUGCACCCAAACUGGAUGACGUGCCAAUGUCCAUUUGCCUUAUGCUUUGUGGAGCUGAUUAGGCUGGGAUUUGAGGUGAUAAUCCAGUAAGUCUUUCCUCGUUCCUACUUGUGGAGGAUCAGUAGCUGUUAUGAUGCCAGACCAUUUGGAGAAGUAUCAGAGGCCUGACUGGACACAUAAUAUGACAACCACAUUUUUCCUCAUCAUCCAUGAGGAAAUGGAUGAUUUCUCUUUUCCAUAUGUCACUGGGGAAAGGCUGCCUGUACCUCUCAAGCUUUGCAUUUUACUGGAAACUGAGGCGUCAAGAUGGCUGUGGCAGCUAGCAAAAGCAAAGAUGCUUUGUGCAUAGCCUUGUGAAAAAGUAUCUUUCUAUGCAUUAAGAUGAAUUUUCCUCCCAGAAUAUUUAGAAAUGUAGAAGGGAUAACAGUUCACAGCCAGGUAAAAUUUAACUGGUGGCUUAAUGACUCUGCACCUUUUUCUCAGGAAUUCUGCCUAAGUUGUCUGCCUUUUCUACCACCAAAAAGACUUUUAGUUUUCUAUGGUUUCUCCUGAAUUUUGGUAGGAUAAGGUAUUUCUAUGUCAAAGGCACAGCCUUGAUGAUCUCAGGGAAAAAUUUUAAUCACUGUGUAUAAUGAUACUGAACCUUGAUUAAUAACAGAAAUUCAGGAUGUAAAGCCACAGAAUGGGAUUUAUUAACGUGGGAUACCCCAGACUGUUUGUUUUCUUUCUGGGAAGAAAAGUGUGUUCUAUAAUGAAUAAAUAUAGAGUGGUUUUUACUUGUCCUGUGUA
RNAcentral lists this small RNA (3944 nucleotides) under Pan troglodytes (chimpanzee). RNAcentral describes it as "retained intron". The record is from RNAcentral. Lineage: Eukaryota; Metazoa; Chordata; Mammalia; Primates; Hominidae.